AAAAAAAAAAAAAAUGGACAUAUUUAUUCAAACAGAUAAAGCAGAUGAAGCAGACGAAGCAGAUGAAGCAGACGAAGCAGAUGAAGCAGACGAAGCAGACGAAGCAGACGAAGCAGAUGAAGCAAACCAAAAUGACAAACCGACUAAUAAUUAUAUUCCAAAAAUAAACAAAAAAAUUGGAAACAGCAAAUCUAUGUGUACUCAUAACAUUUACAAUGUAAAACAGAUUCAACAUAAAAAAAAACAAAAAAAUAUAAAAAUAUUUAUGAUAGUUAUGGUAGUUAUGAUAUGUGUAACACGGUCACAAAUGUAAAAGAUAAUUACAAAUAUAAUAAUAACAAUUAUAAAAACUUAUCUAAGAAAAAUAAAUUAACCAUGUCUAACAAUAAUAUGUCUCUAGUUUUAUCUUCAUCAAAUGAGCAUAACCACGACCAAGACCACAAGCUACCUAAACGUAUUGAACAUAAUGAAAAGGACAAACAACAUGAACAGUUUAAAUACUUCCAAAAAAAAAAAAAAAAAAACAAAUCAAAUCAAAGAAAACAGUAAUGAUAUGUUUAAUAAAAAUACAUAUGAUUUACGAAAUAAAAAACAUAAUUAUAUGACUAGUAAUGUACUUUGUGAUUCAAAUAAAUUUUUUGCGCGAUCUAAAAAUAGCUUUGCACAUAUUGAUAAGAUACAUGAUAAUGUAAAAAACUCAGUAAGACAUAAUAUUAAAAAAAAUUCAAACCACUUCAGUAAUCAUAGUUGUCAACAUCAUAAAAAAACUGACGAUUCUUAUUAUUCAUACAACCAUGAUAUAAAUUAUAACAACCAGAAAAAAAAUACAAAAUCAAAUGGUACAGACAUAAUUAAUUAUAAAAAAGGAAGCGGGAUAAACAGAGAUAGAAAGAGUGAUAGCAAAAGUUAUAGCAGCAGUUAUAACAGUGGUUAUAGUAGCAGUUAUAGUAGCAGUUAUAGUAGCGGUUGUAAUAAACAUCAUAAUAAAAAUAUAACAAAUAAAAAAGAAAGUUCUCAAUUAAACACAAAAAGUUAUAAAACAGAAUCACGACAAAGUAAUAGUAAACAUCCAAUCGAACUAAAUAAUUUGAACAGAAAAAAUAACAGUAUAAAAAAAACUGAAAUGGACAAUAUGUAUGAAUAUAUGGUAAAAUAUAAACAAAGUGAUAUUUCUAACAAAAAUAAUUCAUCCAAUACAUUUCACAUACCCAAGCACAAUUUAAAAAAUACAAAUUAUAACAAAAUAUCAAGACGUAAUACAUGUAUUGUUAAAAGUAAAAAUAACAUAGAUACAAUAAAUAAAAAAAUCGAACAAAAAAAAAGUAAUGAUAAAAAUAUAAUUAGUAACAUUAAAAACAUAACGAAGCAUUGUUACACUGAUGAUCAGUUAAAAAAUAAGCCUUUGAUUGAGAUACGAAAUAGUAGUCUACCUAAUAACUAUCGUUUUUCAAGCCAUAACUAUAUAACUAACCCAAUUAAUCAAACAAUACAAAAUAGUUAUACGAAUUAUUCCAGCAAUAAUAACAUUGGAUAUACGUCAAUAACUACUUUAGAUAAACCUAAAUUUAUAAUAGAUGCUACCAAAUGUGAAGAUAAGAAUAAUAUAGAUAGUAAUAUAUACACAAAGAAACCAUCUAAUAUAAUACAACAAAAAAGUAUUUUAGUCGAUAACAAAAAAUCAAAUUUAUAUAUAAAUAAUAAAAACUUAGUUAACAAUGAUUUCAAUAGUUUAUAUAUACCUAGAAAUAACACAAAUGUUUGUACAAAAAAUAUAAAAAAAUAUUUAACCAUGGAUGAGUAUAACGAGUUUUUAAAAAAGCAAUUGAGUUAUCAUGUAGGUAAUAAAAGCGAAUUAGUACAAUAUAUAACAUAUGAUAGAGGUAAUGGUUCGAGUGUGAACAUGUAUAAUGGCAUAAAUGGUAAUAUAUGUAAUGAUCAAAGUUGUGGCAGUAGAAAUAGUCUUUAUAACGGGUCAAACGUUACAACACAAAAUACAGAAAAUCAAACGAUAGACACAAAAAAAGAUCACGUUUAUGAAGACAAAGUGAAACAAACAAAUUGUUUAAAUGUUAGUAAACUCAAAAAAGCUUUAACACAAGGUAUAUAUAAUAAUGAUAAUAACACUGAAGUGAAAAAAAAUAAUAUAAAUAUAUCGUACUCUGUAUUAAAUGGAAGUGAAAAAAACUGUAAGUUAGUUAAUAAUAACAAUUCUAACAAUAUGAAUAUAAUAAAUACCACUAAUAACAAGAACAAUAAUGUUAUUACAAGUGAUGGUGUUAAUAU
Molecule: long non-coding RNA, 2283 nt
Filed under: Piliocolobus tephrosceles (Ugandan red Colobus)
Lineage: Eukaryota; Metazoa; Chordata; Mammalia; Primates; Cercopithecidae
Description: lncRNA (ENSPTEG00000018477.1)
Source: RNAcentral